Molecule: non-coding RNA, 32 nt
Filed under: Homo sapiens (human)
Lineage: Eukaryota; Metazoa; Chordata; Mammalia; Primates; Hominidae
Source: RNAcentral
UGGAAGUGCUACAGACAGAAGCCCUUUAGGGA